Long non-coding RNA from Falco peregrinus (peregrine falcon), 1144 nucleotides. RefSeq lists it as uncharacterized. The transcript has 3 exons. NCBI's taxonomy places the organism in Eukaryota, Metazoa, Chordata, Aves, Falconiformes, Falconidae. The record is from RefSeq and is a predicted model, not a curated record.
ACAAGUACUGAUGAACACAGACACAUCAAGCUGUCAAGACUGUAAUGCUCCAGGAUUCCACACAUCCAGUACUUCAGCUACUGUUCAGCCUUACGUAUCAGCUAAGUGGCAAGAAGAACACGGACUCAGAAGAGUAGGACGUUGAAGAUUAUGCAAAACCAUUAUUUAUUUCCAUUGCUUCUAUCCAUCCUAGACUCAAGUGCCUUCAAAUUAAAGGUCGCGGAAAGUCCUGUUGAGAUUCUCAGUGAUGCUCAGGUUGGUUGGACUAUAGCUCUACACCCAUGACCCAUGACAAAUGUUCUCGUACACGAGCAAUCCAAACCAAUGCCAGAGAAUCGAGAACCUCUGGACAGAAACUCCUAAACAACAUCCAAAGGACUUUCCCCAGCCAGCACUGCUCUGACUUCAGAAAAGUCCCGAUGCAGAAAGAUCGAUGUUCAUCUCCUUUUUAUGGGAAUUCUGUGAUCACGUGCAUAACUCAGAAGGAAACAGAACACCUGGUAAACUUUUUUUUAGGCAAAAGAAAGGCAAACCCCUAGGACACAUACCCAGGUAUAAGAGUCGGUCUAAAGAGAACAAUAUUGUUUCAACAUUGCCGACAGAGACCUGGAGAUGGAAUGUGGUCUUCAUGGACACCAAGACACAGAGACCCUGGGAAAGAGAACUGCAUGGUACGAGGAGUACUAUGCUGCUCCCUGCAACUUGGGAUUGAAUAAGGCCACAUAACAGCCGUCCAGAAGACGGAUCACAACUGUGGUCAUAACAACGAACCAGAAAACAAUACAAGAAUAGGCCUCCUGGUCUGAAGCUACCCACCUCUGGAGCAAGAUAACCUGGCUCGAGAGGGUGGAGACUGGCGGAAGUCCAUGGACCAGAGGAGGAGCAAGGUGUGUUGCUUGGCAUAAAAAGAUGCCUUCUUAGCAACUGAACUUUGGAGAUCUUCCCCACCAAGGAUCACAAUUGGAAGGACUGGCAGGACGCUGCCUGGACUUGGGACCAUAGGGACGCCUUGGGCCCGUGGUGGUAGCUAUAAUCCUCUUUUCUUUUCUUUUUACUUUACUUUUUAUUCACUUUCUGUCUUUCUACCUAUCGCACGCCGCUUUACGGGCAAACAAUAAAAUUGCGCUGUUUGAUUGAAGCAUAA